CCUACGGGUGGCAGCAGUGAGGAAUAUUGGUCACUGGCCGUAAGGCUGAACCAGCCAAGUCGCGUGAAGGAAGAAGGAUUUAUGGUUUGUCAACUUCUUUUAUAGGGGAAUCAAGGUAUCCACGUGUGGAUAUUUGCAUGUACCCUAUGAAUAAGCAUCGGCUAACUCCGUGCCAGCAGCCGCGGUAAUACGAAGGCUGCGAGCGUGAUCCGGAUUUAUUGUGUUUAAAGGGUGCGUAGGUUUUUUUUUAAUUCAGCGGGGAACGUUUGUGGCUCAACCAUAAAAUUGCCGUUGAAACUGGAAGACUAGAGUGUGUUUGAGGUAGGCGGAAUUCGUGGUGUAGCGGUGAAAUGCAUAGAUAUCACGCAGAACACCGAUUGCGAAGGCAGCUUACUAAGCCAUAACUGACACUGAAGCACGAAAGCGUGGGGAUCAAACAGGAUUAGAUACCCCUGUAGUC
This 460-nucleotide ribosomal RNA is filed under the name uncultured bacterium. RNAcentral describes it as "partial 16S ribosomal RNA". It matches the Rfam family "Bacterial small subunit ribosomal RNA", at positions 338 to 795 of the family's 1533-position model. The record is from RNAcentral.